Molecule: ribosomal RNA, 301 nt
Filed under: uncultured bacterium
Lineage: Bacteria
Description: partial 16S ribosomal RNA
Rfam family: Bacterial small subunit ribosomal RNA
Source: RNAcentral
CAGUCGCCGCGGGAAUACGAAGGGGGCUAGCGUUGUUCGGAAUCACUGGGCGUAAAGGGUGCGUAGGCGGAUCCUUAAGUCAGGGGUGAAAUCCCGAGGCUCAACCUCGGAACUGCCUUUGAUACUGGGGAUCUUGAGUCCGGAAGAGGUGAGUGGAACUGCGAGUGUAGAGGUGAAAUUCGUAGAUAUUCGCAAGAACACCGGUGGCGAAGGCGGCUCACUGGUCCGGAACUGACGCUGAGGCACGACAGCGUGGGGGGCAAACAGGAUUAGAUACCCGAGUAGUCCCUGUCUCUUAUAC